UGCCAGCAGCCGCGGUAAUACGUAGGUGGCGAGCGUUGUCCGGAUUUACUGGGCGUAAAGGAUGCGUAGGCGGAUAUUUAAGUGAGAUGUGAAAUACCCGAGCUUAACUUGGGUGCUGCAUUUCAAACUGGAUAUCUAGAGUGCGGGAGAGGAGAAUGGAAUUCCUAGUGUAGCGGUGAAAUGCGUAGAGAUUAGGAAGAACACCAGUGGCGAAGGCGAUUCUCUGGACCGUAACUGACGCUGAGGCAUGAAAGCGUGGGUAGCAAACAGGAUUAGAUA
This 279-nucleotide ribosomal RNA is filed under the name uncultured bacterium. Its description in RNAcentral is "partial 16S ribosomal RNA". It matches the Rfam family "Bacterial small subunit ribosomal RNA", at positions 506 to 784 of the family's 1533-position model. The record is from RNAcentral.